CCCGCAACGAGCGCAACCCCUCGCAUCCAGUUGCCAUCGGGCGAGCCGGGCACUCUGGAGGGACUGCCGGCGACAAGCCGGAGGAAGUGGGGAUGACGUCAAGUCAUCAUGGCCCUUAUGUCCAGGGCGACACACGUGCUACAAUGGCCGGCACAGCGGGAAGCGGAGGGGCGACCCUGAGCGGAUCCCUUGAAAGCCGGUCCCAGUUCGGAUUGCAGUCUGCAACUCGACUGCAUGAAGUUGGAAUCGCUAGUAAUCGCGGAUCAGCCAAGCCGCGGUGAAUACGUUCCCGGGCCUU
RNAcentral lists this ribosomal RNA (298 nucleotides) under uncultured Thermovirga sp. RNAcentral's name for it is "partial 16S ribosomal RNA". It matches the Rfam family "Bacterial small subunit ribosomal RNA", at positions 1086 to 1382 of the family's 1533-position model. Lineage: Bacteria; Thermotogati; Synergistota; Synergistia; Synergistales; Thermovirgaceae. The record is from RNAcentral.